This is a long non-coding RNA of Carassius gibelio (silver crucian carp), 620 nucleotides long. RefSeq lists it as uncharacterized. The record is from RefSeq and is a predicted model, not a curated record. The transcript has 2 exons. NCBI's taxonomy places the organism in Eukaryota, Metazoa, Chordata, Actinopteri, Cypriniformes, Cyprinidae.
AUGUUUGAUUUAUAGCCUGUCUAACAGAACAGUGUUUUUUGCGGUUACUAAGCUGUUGCAUCGGUGCAUUUUCAUAUGUGAGAGUUUAAUACUUUUCUGAAACGCAGAUAUCAAAUCGCCAGGAAACAAACGUCGUUGUUGUUUGACAAACUACUGUCGAUAGUCAGUCGGUUUGUUUCCAGAUACAAGUGUAAAACGUGUGUGGAUGUCGUCGUCAUCGUUUCGAUUUGUUAGUCUCACUCAACAAUCUGUUAAAAUAUCGUUUUCUUUGCUCUGUUCGCUAAACAAAGGAGCGAAACGCGUAGCCGCAUUGACCGUGUCUCUCAUGCUUUCAGGGCAUUUGGCUUCAGCGCAGGCGCACAAACCCCGCCUCUCUCCUGUGCUGUGUGCAUUCGCAUUGUGUCUAAACAGGCAGCGAGCAAAAAGAUAUUUUACCAACAGCAGUAAUGUCGGGCAGGUCGGUUCGAGCGGAGACGCGGAGCAGGGCGAAAGAUGACAUCAAGCGGGUUAUGGCUGCAAUUGAAAAAGUGCGGAAAUGGGAGAAGAAAUGGGUGACUGUUGGAGACACGUCACUGCGAAUCUACAAGUGGGUACCAGUGACAGAGCCCAAGUCAGAUGAU